CUUAGGCUAGAUAUUAAAUUUUUCUGCAUUAUAUAUGUUUACCAUCUGCUUAGUUAUCCAGUCAAUCAUAUGCUGUUACUCAACCAUAAGAGCAAUUUUUUUGUUUGCAUACAUCUCAUUUUAGUAGCACAUGAUUAAGGUUGGAUAUAAGAAUUCGGGUUCUUUUGUAAUUUGUUGCUCAUUGUCGGGGUUAGUUUUUGUUUAUAGUACUCCAACCUCUUGUAUUCAGGCUACGAUGUGAGAUCGCAUGUUUUUUUGCUUAACAGAAUGCAGAAACAUAUUAUUCUCUUAAGAUCAAAGAUCUCCCUUAAAGACUUAAAGUUAAUAAAGGACAACAAAUCUACAAAUCUAGAUCAAAGAACAGCUACCACCUUAAUAUUAUAUCUGCUGUGUUUCAAACUAAAAGUUCUGCUGGUGGAGUUGAAUACUACUGUAUAAACUACAACUAUAUUGUGACAACCCGGGUCAAAUCCCGAGUCUUUUUCGAAAAUCAGGUCAAGUCCCGAACUCCGAAUCCAAAAAUAAGCCGAAAUAAACUAGCCCAACUGCAACAACUUGGGUAAUCCACAAGCCCACCAUAGGCCCCCAAAAGAUCAUGAUUUGUUGGUGCAAUUGGUAGUAGUACUUAUGCUUAUAAACUGAACUAAAGUCUCCACACGACUCGAUGUGGGACUGGGGUGUUACAAACUCCCCCACUUAAAUUCCUGACGUCCUCGUCAGGCCGAAACGGAUAGCCCAUAGGUCCAGAUCGAACCUCUCUAGCCAUUGUGGGAUAAUACCGGCUGGCUUCGUGUCCCCGCCUCCGGAUCUCUGUCCAUUGCGGGAUAAUACCACCAGCCUUCGUAUCCCCACCUCCGGCAACUUGACGAAUCAAGCUUUCGAGAGCCUGCUCUGAAUACCAUAUGUGACAACCCGGGUCAAAUCCCGAGUCUUUUUCGAAAAUCAGGUCAAGUCCUGAACUCCGAAUCCGAAAAUAAGCCGAAAUAAACUUGCCCAACUACAACAACUUGGGUAAUCCACAAGCCCACCACAGGCCCCCAAAAGAUCAUGAUUUGUUGGUGCAAUUGGUAGUAGUACUUAUGCUUAUAAACUGAACUAAAGUCUCCACACGACUCGAUGUGGGACUGGGGUGUUACAUAUAUACUGCUGAAUUUAAAAAUGUAGCUGUAAAACUGCUGGCAAGUGUCAACACUAUUUCCCAAAUUUAAUUGACCAGUUAAUUGAUAUUCAUAUUUAAAUGUUUGAAGUUUGCAAUUUUUAAGGUUGUUCCAUGUCUCCAUUAUGUUAAAAUGUCACAGGA
RNAcentral lists this long non-coding RNA (1300 nucleotides) under Daucus carota (carrot). Its description in RNAcentral is "long non-coding RNA (DCAR_LNC003840)". Lineage: Eukaryota; Viridiplantae; Streptophyta; Magnoliopsida; Apiales; Apiaceae. The record is from RNAcentral.